CCUACGGGUGGCAGCAGUAGGGAAUCUUCCACAAUGGGCGCAAGCCUGAUGGAGCAACACCGCGUGAGUGAAGAAGGGUUUCGGCUCGUAAAGCUCUGUUGUUGGGGAGGAACGUGCGGGAGAUUAACUGUUCACGCAGUGACGGUAUCCAACCAGAAAGUAACGGCUAACUACGUGCCAGCAGCCGCGGUAAUACGUAGGGGGCAAGCGUUAUGCGGAUUUAUUGGGCGUAAAGCGAUCGCAGGCGGUUGCUUAGGUCUGAUGUGAAAGCCUUGGGCUUAACCGAAGAAGUGCAUCUGAGACCGGGAGACUUGAGUGCAGAAGAGGACAGUAGAACUCCAUGUGUAGCGGUGGAAUGCGUAGAGAUAUGGAAGAACACCAGUGGCGAAGGCGGCUGUCUGGUCUGAAACUGACGCUGAGGCUCGAAAGCAUGGGUAGCGAACAGGAUUAGAUACCCGGGUAGUC
RNAcentral lists this ribosomal RNA (465 nucleotides) under uncultured bacterium. Its description in RNAcentral is "partial 16S ribosomal RNA". It matches the Rfam family "Bacterial small subunit ribosomal RNA", at positions 338 to 795 of the family's 1533-position model. The record is from RNAcentral.